AUAGCUGCAGUAUACUGACUGUGCUAAGGUAGCAAAGUCAAUAGUUUCUUAAUUGGAAGCCGGAAUAAAUGAGUUGACGAUACUGAGUUUUUCUAAUCAAAUAGGGGAAAUUGAUAUUUGUAUUAAAAAGUACAACUUUUUGGGUAGACGAGAAGACCCCGUAAAACUUCAUUUUUAGCGGCUGUUCUGAUUUUGAAUUUUUGGGGGGAGCGAAGGAUUGAGCUGGGGCGGCAACUGAUAACACUUUGAGUAGAUAAAACGUUUAUACACGGAACGGAAGAUCUUUAAUAGAGGUAGUAAAAGUUACUUUGGGGAUAACAGCAUUAUUUUUUCCUACAGUUCUGAUGGAAGAAAGAGACUGUGACCUCGAUGUUGAAUUGAGGUACUGAACUGGAGCAGAAACUAGUUUGGGGGGUCUGUUCGACCCUUGAUUCCUCA
RNAcentral lists this ribosomal RNA (438 nucleotides) under Eugerdella sp. RNAcentral describes it as "partial 16S ribosomal RNA". It matches the Rfam family "Bacterial large subunit ribosomal RNA", at positions 1927 to 2598 of the family's 2925-position model. Lineage: Eukaryota; Metazoa; Arthropoda; Malacostraca; Isopoda; Desmosomatidae. The record is from RNAcentral.